GCUACGGUGGUUUAGUGGUUAGAGCGUCCGUCUCGGAUGCGGGAGGUAGUGGGUUCGAUCCCGGCCGAGUCAUACCA
This is a non-coding RNA of Potamilus streckersoni, 77 nucleotides long. NCBI's taxonomy places the organism in Eukaryota, Metazoa, Mollusca, Bivalvia, Unionida, Unionidae. The record is from the annotation of a GenBank genome assembly.